This 443-nucleotide ribosomal RNA is filed under the name uncultured bacterium. RNAcentral's name for it is "partial 16S ribosomal RNA". It matches the Rfam family "Bacterial small subunit ribosomal RNA", at positions 338 to 795 of the family's 1533-position model. The record is from RNAcentral.
CCUACGGGAGGCAGCAGUGGGGAAUAUUGGACAAUGGUGGAAACCCUGAUCCAGCAACGCCGCGUGAGUGAAGAAGUAUUUCGGUAUGUAAAGCUCUAUCAGCAGGGACGAAAGAAAUGCCGGUACCUGGGUAAGAAGCCCCGGCUAACUACGUGCCAGCAGCCGCGGUAAUACGUAGGGGGCAAGCGUUAUCCGGAUUUACGGGGUGUAAGGGGCGUGUAGCCGGAGAGACAAGUCAGAUGUGAAAUCCACGGGCUCAACCUGUGACCUGCAUUUGAAACUGUUUCCCUUGAGUGUUGGAGAGGCAAUCGGAAUUCCUGGUGUAGCGGUGAAAUGCGUAGAUAUAAGGAAGAACACCAGUGGCGAAGGCGGAUUACUGGACGAUAACUGACGGUGAGGCGCGAAAGCGUGGGGAGCAAACAGGAUUAGAUACCCUUGUAGUC